UCAAAGGUUACCUAUUCUUUUAACUCUUCCAACUUUUCUGUUUUGAAUUCCUUAUUGAGAUUUGCAUGCUAACUCCCCAAAAUGGAAAUAUUAUCCUCAAAUUUAUAAAAGGAGAAUGAGUGGAUUGCAAAAAUACUGAGGAACACAUUUCCCAAAGUUGUGGCAUUAAAAGAAAAUGUUCUAAAGGAGAGCAUCUUUUAUUCUAUCAAUAGUAAGAUUGCAGAACAUGGGACAGGUAGUAGCCUUAAAAUCACUAUGUGACCGGAUGUUGUAAUUUUAAGUUAUAGAGACUGUACUUUCAUAAAUUGCAUGCUGUCCCUCAUGAGAAGCAUGCCUGUAUGAAGUAGCAUUUGUUGAAUUAGUCAGUGGGAAUGGCAGUAAGUGAUGGACAAGACAAGAACACACUGUUUUGACUAAGAAAGAGUGGGUCAGCAGGGUGAGUUAGUUGUGACCUCAAUUGCUCGCUGAAUUCUGACUCAGCUGUAGUUGAUUGUUUCAGAACUUCAUUUACCUCAUGAUAAAAAUUGGAUAAUACUAUGUAGCAGGAUUGCUGUGAAAGUUGGAAAACGUAUACAGAUUCACCCAACUACAGCGUAGAUGUUCAGACAACUACCAGCCUCCUCAGUUGACCAUCAGUUCAGCAAGUUGGUUAUAAAACUGAGCUCUUAAAUAUCCUGUCCCUUAAUGUUGCCCAUUCAUUAUUCAGCACCUAAAUAGACCAAUGACUGCUUCUCUGUAAAGAGUCAUUGAAAGGGGAAUCUUUUUUCUUUCUUUUUCUUACUUAUGGGAGAUAAAAUGUUAACUUCUUAAUGAACUCCAAGUUUUUAAUGUGGUGUUUCUGAAGAAAUGUUAAUUAAACAUCUAGUUGUAUGUACCCAGAGUCUGAGUCAUAUUCACCCACAACUCUAUAUAUUGUUCCCUCCAAAAUUAUGAGAGCAGUGUCACCAAGCCCUGACCUUUGCAUUUGUCAGAUAUACAUUCUGUUUCUGUGGCACUGGCCUAAGAAUGUUCUUCUCUGCCCCUCUUGUUUUUCCUUGCCUCAGAGAAAAAGUUGCACAAUAUGGUGUGGGGGAAAAAAAAAGUCUCCUUCAUGGAAAGGGAGGGGGGAGCAUUCCCUUUAUGAUCUAAGUCAGCAGAUUUACUCUACUUGAGAAAAAAAAUGAAACAACUUUAUUGGAAGCAGAUGUUGACACUGUGUCGGUUAUUGAAGAUGGAAAGAGUUCUCUCCGUCGUUGCAGUUACAAAGCGGUAUUGAUGGCAGUCAAGGUCCCUGUGAUGCGUCACCUUCCCAGCUGGAGAGGACAGCAGAAGCAGUAUGAGACCCAAAAUGAAGUCAGCCUGUGAUUUCAACGUACAAGAAACACCAAGGACUAAGCUUGUUUGCUGCAUAUUUUUCCCCUGCAGGAUGCAUAAUAUAUAUCUUUCAUGUAAUAUUAAGGCUGGAAAGACAAGUUAAAAUCAAACAUCUUAAAAAUACUACAAUUUGAGGAAUCCUUUAAAUAUACCAUGACAUCACGAAAACUUUGAUUAAAUUUAUUUCAGAAAAAUUAGGCUGAUAUUUGUGUCUCAAAGUGUAGCUGAUCACACAGAAACACUUUGAAGGAAGGGUGGCUUUGGCGUUUGGGGGAUGAAUGGAGCCAGCAAGGGAACCUCAGCUUCAAUAGCGUCAGAAUGUUAAUUGCCAUGGUUGUGUGGUCAUAGGAUUAGGUCACAGAUCAGACUUUUAGAAUAUUGGAUCGUAAUUUUUCUCUUAGCGCUUUAUGGGAAUUUUAAAACUGUAAAAUUAGUCAUUAUAGUUAAAUGUAUUGCCUUUUACAUUUUUCUUGUGAGCCUUUGCUUGAAGCAUUUUGUGAUGUCAAGUGAUUAGUCAAGGAAAUAGUUUUGAAAUUUUGACCACCUUAUAUUGAUCCAAGGACAUUUUCUAAAACUCCUUUUAAAUUACAAGGAAUUCUAAUAGGUUUUUAAUGUUGUUUUCCAAUUCUGUUGUGCUGUGUAAAUAAACAGGGCCGUACAGUCAUUUAGAAAGGGACACAACAUCACCAAUUAAUUUCUUUUUCUAAUGAUUUCUGACUACUAAAUUUUAGUCUAAUAUGGGCUCUUUUCAAAAAUGAAAUUCAUAGUGAGACUUUCUUUUUACCUAAGAUGUGAACUUUUCUCUUUAUACUUAUAGACGUAGACAUUUUUUCCUUCUGUUUUGUGGCUAGAGUCACAAAACAGAAUGUAAUGAAUCUACAUACUGGGUUCAAUGUGUAGGAUAUGUAUACUUGUGAACAUCCUAUCUGAUUUACAAAUGCUAUUCCAUUUAGGUAUUUUUCAAGAUGUACGAUGUAGAGAAAACCCCAUGUGCAUUCUUUGUAUCAUUUUAAAGUGCAUAUAUUUAAAGGAAAACACUGACUCCUUUUGUUUUCAUUGUGUACACCUAGGUAAGGUGAAAUGGUUUUGUAAAGAGAAAAUGCACAAUAUGAUAUUUUAUAUUUAUCACUUGAUAAGGUAAACUGAAAACUAAUAGUAGAAGUCAUAUCUUACAGAUAUCUUACAGCAUUCGGCAUACGGUAUGAUUCCAGAUUUGUUAGUUCUGAGAGAAAUCACACCAUCUUGAUUUCCUAUUUCCAGAAAGGAAAUCAAGCAAUCUUGGUUAUGCUGUCAUUGUUACCUAAUAGAUAAUGGAUAAUUGCUAAAUCUUUUGACUUUAUAAUUGUAAAAUCAUAUGCUUUUUUUGUUUUCAUUCUUCAAAUGCAGGACUUAUAACUGUGUCAUUGAUAUACAAUCAUGGAUGACUUUGUGAGAAGAACAGAUGUCAUUUUCUUUAACUUGUUCAAUAAAUAAUUUAAUGU
Molecule: long non-coding RNA, 2834 nt
Filed under: Mus musculus (house mouse)
Lineage: Eukaryota; Metazoa; Chordata; Mammalia; Rodentia; Muridae
Description: long non-coding RNA chr16:65863526-65866360
Source: RNAcentral